CAGGCUUGAUAAUACAAAAUGUGAACUCUUGGGGAGGAAAUAAUGAAGUAAAUGUCUCUUAGAGCAGAUCUGAAAGAUGAGAGAAAUGCAGUUGUGGUACCAGCUGAGGACUGAAGAACUAGAGCACAUGCAAGCUGCUUACUUUGGUUUUAAGGGAAGGAACAAUAACAACAACAAUAAGAAACUCAGGAAUACAUCUGUAUUUGGUGACACGACUAACAUGGCAUAUGAUAACCAAGGCUUCUACAGGUCCCAGGAAAAGUGGACUCGGGAUGUCAUCAUUCCUGGGUGUUGCAAAGACAGCAGUCACCUGCUGAAGGUAGCCAAGAACAGUGGUGCACCUGGGGCACACAUGGUACUGAGACAAAACCCUGCAUUGCAGACAGUGAACUCCAUACACGUUGUUGAAGUCUACAGUCAUAAGGAUAGUUGCAACAAACCAACCUCCCAGAUACCUGGAUAGUUGGUGUCUGAAAUGCAACUGCUUCUCUGGACCAAAAUGAAAUAUUGAUAGAAAUAUGUGCCUUCAAGACAACAUAGAAAGCUCAUUAUUCAUAUGAACUGUAAGUUUUCUAUAUUCCAAGAUGGUUAUUUAAGAGAAAUGCUUCCUCAAGGGCGGAUAAAAAUAAAGACACGAAUAUUGAGGCUGUCA
RNAcentral lists this long non-coding RNA (652 nucleotides) under Serinus canaria (Common canary). RNAcentral's name for it is "lncRNA (ENSSCAG00000010397.1)". Lineage: Eukaryota; Metazoa; Chordata; Aves; Passeriformes; Fringillidae. The record is from RNAcentral.